CGUAUUGGGUGACUGCGGAGGAUCAUUAACGAGUCUUGAAGGGUUGUAGCUGGCCUCCCGAGGCACGUGCACGCCCGCUCAUCCACUCUACACCUGUGAACUAUUGUAGGUCGGUUUAACGGGGCCCCUCUCGGGCUUCCGCGGCCGUCCUAUGUAACACCACACACCAUGCAGUAUCAGAAUGUCUUUGCGAUAAUACGCAUCUUAUACAACUUUCAGCAACGGAUCUCUUGGCUCUCGCAUCGAUGAAGAACGCAGCGAAAUGCGAUAAGUAAUGUGAAUUGCAGAAUUCAGUGAAUCAUCGAAUCUUUGAACGCACCUUGCGCUCCUCGGUAUUCCGUGGAGCAUGCCUGUUUGAGUGUCAUGAAAUCCUCAAUCCCCCAUCCCUUGCGGAGGGCGGGCUUGGACUUGGAGGCUUGCCGGCCGUGAGGUCGGCUCCUCUCAAAUGCAUUAGCUCGGUUCCUUGCGGAUCGGCUCCCGACGUGAUAAUUGUCUACGUCGCGACCGUGAAGCGUCUGGCGAGCUUCCAACCGUCCUUCGGGACAGCUUUCUUGAUCUGACCUCAAAUCAGGUAGGACUACCCGCUGAACUUAAGCAUAUCUAAAAGCGGGAAGGAA
Molecule: ribosomal RNA, 617 nt
Filed under: Lopharia mirabilis
Lineage: Eukaryota; Fungi; Basidiomycota; Agaricomycetes; Polyporales; Polyporaceae
Description: eukaryotic LSU rRNA
Rfam family: 5.8S ribosomal RNA (bases 211-364)
Source: RNAcentral